RNAcentral lists this unclassified non-coding RNA (2127 nucleotides) under uncultured fungus. RNAcentral describes it as "sequence contains 18S rRNA gene, ITS1, 5.8S rRNA gene, ITS2, 28S rRNA gene". The stretch from base 905 to 2127 matches the Rfam family "Eukaryotic large subunit ribosomal RNA", at positions 1 to 961 of the family's 3401-position model. Lineage: Eukaryota; Fungi. The record is from RNAcentral.
GAAAGGAUCAUUAACGGUAUAGUGUUUAAAACCACUUACCAAACUGAAACUAAAGUACGUGAAUAAGAAGCUGGCGUAGAAAGGUCGGUUCUCGGGGUGGCCUGGGUUUCUGGGUCGCUGACUGCCGAGACGGUCGGUCUACUUGCUAGUGGCAGUGAAGUUUCGACUUUGCUGUACCGCCCUGUUGAAAUGCUAUGGUGGUAGCGACACACUUAACUGUGUGUCUCCACCGAUCGGGAUAGGAAGUGGCCCCAUGUAGGGCGGAGACCACUCCUGUCCCACUGUGUCCCUAACUUCGUGCGGUGCCUGGUCCGGGGUUGCUGCUCAGCGGAACAAUGUCGACCUUUGGGUACGAUCUCUUGUCUUCGUCUGUGUAGUUCUCGGGGUUCCUUCGACUUCGGUCGCUGGAGCUAGGCUCGUGUAAGCGUUUGCGCUGUCGCACGAAUUGGGACUUCGAACACUCGUCUUCGUGUGUCUCGAACCUUUGAAAUCUAAAAUCGUUUCUGAUGUUAAUUCAAUACAAAGUCUAUACGACUGCAAGCGGUGGAUCACUCGGAUCGCAGAUCGAUGAAGAACGCAGCUAACUGCGUUAUGCGGUGUGAAUUGCAGGACACGCCGAACACUCGAUAUUCGAACGCACAUUGCGGCUACGAGUUAACUCUCGUAGCCUUAUCUGUCUGAGGGUCGGAAAUGUUAUAACGAAUCGUAGAUGCCUUUGUAAUGACGCGGCCUUUGUUGCUGUCGUUGUCGGGCAAUAAGCAGUGAAACGGUUCCCUUGUCUGCUGACGGUUAAUCAGGGGGAGAAACUUUACAGUUACUCGUUGCCUUGCGCUGUCCGUCUGGUGGUUGGGUCCGAUGACACUCUAUACCUAAAGGCCUCGUGCCUUGAUGAAGUUUAAACUGUCGACCUCAGAUCAGGUAAGAUUACCCGCUGAAUUUAAGCAUAUAAUUAAGCGGAGGAAAAGAAACCAAAAGGGAUACCCCUAGUAGCGGCGAGCGAACAGGGUGGAGCCCAGCGUGAAGGGCUGCCGUCGAAAGGCGUGCAGCCGGUGCCACGUGUAUGUCGUAGUGCUAACCGUGAGUCUCUCGGCGCUGCAAGUUCCCCUGACAGGGACUUCUUUCCAAAGUGGGUGCUAGGCCCAUAGCGGACGUCGAGGGCUUUCGCUAGCUGCGUCAUAAUAGAGUCGGGUUGCUUGAGAGUGCAACCUAAAGCAGGUGGUAAACUCCAUCUAAGGCUAAAUACUACUGCGAUACCGAUAGCAAACAAGUACCGUGAGGGAAAGUUGCAAAGAACUUUGAAGAGAGAGUUCAAAAGGACGUGAAACCGCUUGCAGGUAAACGGGUGGACCCACGAAGUUGUGCGGAGGGAGGAUUCAACUAUCUAACCGUCGACUGUGUCAGUUGAGUGGCUUUCGAAAGAGGGUGCUCGGCUGGUGCGCUAAGGCCGGCGGUCAGUGGUGCAUUUCCUUGUCUCUCGCGCUAACACCGCGACCACUUGGACAUGCUGCGAGACCAUAUGCGAAUGUUGGCUGGAGGUAGCCCGGGCACUUUCGGGUGUCGCAGGUGUUAUACCGGCUCGAUUUGUCAUCUCGUCAGUAAGACCGAGUGGCUUAAUUUCCCAGUUUCUGGGUUGGCAAGUGUCAGUCUUGCCCGGCUCCGAGGCGAGUGCUCUCGUCAGUGUGCGUUUGGUCACUCAGUGGCUGAAGUCGCUGGCGAGUAGUCCGUCUAAGCGGUGUCGGUGCUUGGCGGGCACGAGCAUCUGCGGUGAGUAGGUCGGUCAUCCACCCGACCCGUCUUGAAACACGGACCAUGGAGUCUAACACAUGCGCGAGUCCCUCAGUCUUGAAUAGGCUCGAGAGGCGAAAUGAAAGUGAGAGUUACGAUCCCUGUGCGGUCACUUCGGGUGGCGGCGGGGCGCAGUAACGGCCCGCCUGUUCCGCCUUAUGACGGUUUGGCGGAGCUUUAGCGUAUGUGUUGGUACCCGAAAGAUGGUGAACUAUGCCUGGGCAAGACGAAGCCAGAGGAAACUCUGGUGGAGGUCUGUAGCGAUUCUGACGUGCAAAUCGAUCGUCAGACCUGGGUAUAGGGGCGAAAGACUAAUCGAACCAUCUAGUAGCUGGUUCCCUC